Molecule: transfer RNA, 73 nt
Filed under: Felis catus (domestic cat)
Lineage: Eukaryota; Metazoa; Chordata; Mammalia; Carnivora; Felidae
Also listed under: 3 other names
Rfam family: tRNA
About the family: Transfer RNA (tRNA) molecules are approximately 80 nucleotides in length.
Source: Rfam by way of RNAcentral
CCCUGGCUAGCUCAGUCAGUGGAGCAUGUGACUCUUGAUCAUGGAGCUGUGAGUUCAAGCCCCACACUGGGUG